This 72-nucleotide transfer RNA is filed under the name Schistosoma japonicum. RNAcentral describes it as "tRNA-OTHER". Lineage: Eukaryota; Metazoa; Platyhelminthes; Trematoda; Strigeidida; Schistosomatidae. The record is from RNAcentral.
GCUCCAGUAGUCCAAUGGUAAAGCGCUUGUCGCGGAGGAAGAGGGUAUUGGGUUCGAUCCCCAACAGGGUCG